This 429-nucleotide ribosomal RNA is filed under the name Actinomycetes bacterium. Its description in RNAcentral is "Actinobacteria bacterium partial 16S ribosomal RNA". It matches the Rfam family "Bacterial small subunit ribosomal RNA", at positions 355 to 776 of the family's 1533-position model. Lineage: Bacteria; Bacillati; Actinomycetota; Actinomycetes. The record is from RNAcentral.
UAGGGAAUCUUCCGCAAUGGGCGAAAGCCUGACGGAGCAACGCCGCGUGAGUGAUGAAGGUAUUCGUAUUGUAAAACUUUGUUAUUAGGGAAGAACACACGUGUAAGUAACUAUCCACGACUUGACGGUACCUAAUCAGAAAGCCACGGCUAACUACGUGCCAGCAGCCGCGGUAAUACGUAGGUGGCAAGCGCUAUCCGGAAUUAUUGGGCGUAAAGCGCGCGUAGGCGGUUUUUUAAGUCUGAUGUGAAAGCCCGCGGCUCAACCGUGGAGGGUCAGUGGAAACUGGAAAACUUGAGUGCAUGAGAGGAAAGUGGAAUUCCAUGUGUGGCGGUGAAAUGCGCAGAGAUAUGAAGGAACACCAGUGGCGAGGGCGACAUUCUGGUCUAUAACUGACGCUGAUAUGCGAAAGCGUGGGGACCAAACAGG